Arachis ipaensis is the source of this 2280-nucleotide non-coding RNA. NCBI's taxonomy places the organism in Eukaryota, Viridiplantae, Streptophyta, Magnoliopsida, Fabales, Fabaceae. The record is from RefSeq and is a predicted model, not a curated record.
GUUUCUACUUUUGUUAGUUUGUCUUAUACUUUAAAGUUCAAGUUAUAUAUUCAUAUUUAUUUAGCUACCUUUUUUGUAUCAAGAAAUGGGAUAUACGUAUGUAUUCUUUAAUCUUAUUAAAGAGCUUGGGACAACUGCAUUAAAAAUUUGUUGAGAAGGUGGAAACUUUAACUAUUUUGAAAAGAAGUUUUUGCAUUUCUCUAUGGUUUUUUUCACGAUAGGCAGAAUUUUUUUGCUUCCAACGGCUAUUAAAUUUUGAUUCUUCAUAUAUUACUUAUUUCUAUUCAUUUGAAGUUUACUAAUGAUAUUUUAGAUUUAGUUAAGGUUCUGAAUAAUUGGUGUUUAAUUAAUUUUCUACAUCUUAUUUAAUCCUUACUUCUGUUUAACGUGUGAUCCGUGAUGGGGUUGUUGAACAUUUUAACUUUUAAGGGUGUGGUUUAGUGGCAGCAACCGAAAGAAGCCAUUCGAUAAGGUACAAAAACUUGUGUGGGCCCACCUUCUAUUAAUCGUUAUAGUGACAAUGAUGGGCUUCCUUAACUUCAAGCAGCAUUAAUUAGAAAGGUAAGCAAAAUCGUUCUAGACUCUAUCUUUUUCUUACAACAUAUAAAUGUGUGUUAACUGGUUGGAACUUGUUUUUGGAAUGAAACUUGGUUUUCAAUAAGGGUCAAGUGCGCAUUAAGUUACAGCGCUUUUUAGUAGUUGAAAUUCCUGAGAAUUGGUGAUCCUUUUCUAUUAACUCCUAUGCUUUCGAUUGUAGUUGUCAAAUGUAAACAAUUUGCACAAGUCCUAGGUAAUGGUUACUACAGGUGCCAAUCAGGUGAUCAAUCUUCAUAAGAUAUAAAUGUGUUUUAUAAUUUUAUAAUUUUUUCAUGACAAAAAAAUAUAACACACACGGUUAGUGAAGAUAAUGCACUUUAUAAGCAUUUCAGUUUCCAUUUCAUACCUUUAUGUUUAUGUGUAUAAUGUAUUUUUUCCUUCUUGGCUUUUCUCCGUUUGAACUUGGAAAGGAGCAUAGUUAGGGAGAGAUUUUUGAUGGUAACGAAUUGGUGGUCAAAUCCAGCAUCAAUGAGGUAAUUUAUGUUAAGGAAGGCAACGACUUCCCAUGGUUUCUUCUCACGGAUUUUCAUAAUUUGUGUCUGUGAGGCUUCAUUUCGUGUUAAGGUGAUAAGAUCUGUUUCAAGAGCGUCCCAAAAAGAAGGGGCGCCAAUAUAGCAACAAUCUUCCAGAUAGAGUUUCGAGCACUCAAAGUGGUCCCUGGACAUAUUUUUGGUGAUGAGUCAUCACCGGAGCGCUGACGUGGCGUCGUUUUGCCAGGCUGGAGCUGAGCUGGCUCAUUUUCAAUUUAUACCCACAUUGGUCCCUCGCGGUUGGUGUUAUUGUACAAAGCCCCACUCAUGCACCCUUGGCUCUCCCUCUUCCUCGCGUUCUUCAUCACAUUCUUCAGGCUCCCAAUUCUCUUCCUCUACGCUCUCCAAACCUACAUCCACUCCGAUGCCCAACCCUCCACAUCCAACGGCCUUCGUGCUGCCAUUCGCCGUCCUAGCACCCCAAAGGCCCUGCUCCCGACCUUAGAAAGCGCCCCAAGAAUAAAGACAAGCUCGAUUUCGUCCCAUGUUCCUUUCUAUAUCUUUCCUCAACUUAUAUUUGCUGCUUAAAUUCUCAUCAUGUUUGUUAGGAGCCACUAAAUGUUUCAUGUUUAACUGGGCAGGUUGAAUGACUUAGACAAUUAUUGACAGCUAUUGAAGAGCUACAUCUUAUUGGAAACAAUAUAAGUAGAGUACUGGGAUAUGCAGGUAUCACUUUGAAGUGUGUUGGAGCAUCCAUGGGUGAGAAGCAACCGUUGAAAAAGAAGCUGCCAGCAACAACUACGGUUGGUAAGCUGAAAUUUAUGUGAGGGCUUUUUUAAGCUGAAGUCAUUGGAGCUAUAGUUAUUUCUUCAAGAAGAGAUCCCACCGGAAUAUGGAUUUAACCACAUAUGCUGCUAAAGAGCUUCUAAAGUUAGAUAGAGAGCGAUGGAGAAGAAGAUGAGAUGAAGUUUACGAAAAUUUGGGGAUUUAGGGUUAGAUAUAAAGAAAAAGACCAACGUGGGUACAAAUUGGAAAUUGACCAGCUCAGAUAGCCGUUGGACCCCUCUAGUGUGGCAAACAGAGACCACGUUAGCGCUCCGGUGAUGACUCAUCACCAGAAAUAUGUCUAGGGACCACUUUAAGUGCUCGGAGCUCUAUCUAAAGGACUAAAAUGGAGAAAUUGGAAUCUUGAGGAUUACAUUAAGUAUUUACG